Molecule: non-coding RNA, 304 nt
Organism: Ceratotherium simum simum (southern white rhinoceros)
Lineage: Eukaryota; Metazoa; Chordata; Mammalia; Perissodactyla; Rhinocerotidae
Source: RefSeq, a predicted model, not a curated record
UGUGCUUGCACCUGCAUUGUCGCAUAGCACACUCCUACAUGCGACACAUGUAUCAUUAACAUGCUAGCUCUCCACCCCUGGGUGUGAUUUUUACUCUGGUAAUAGGGCUAGGGUCACCUUCAGUGGACUCCUGGGUGCUAGGGCACGUGCGUAAGCCCACAAAAGUCCAGAAGCUGCGGAAUGUGGAUCUUGGUGGCCUCUGAUUCUCCUAUCUUGCUGAUUGGUUAGGGGCCUUAUGUUGUUAGGCCAGGGGCCUUGCAGAUGGCCCUGUCUCAUUAGGCUGGUGCCUUCCUCUCAUCUGCAA